Molecule: ribosomal RNA, 484 nt
Filed under: uncultured bacterium
Lineage: Bacteria
Description: partial 16S ribosomal RNA
Rfam family: Bacterial small subunit ribosomal RNA
Source: RNAcentral
AUUGAACGCUGGCGGCAUGCUUUACACAUGCAAGUCGAACGGCAGCGCGGGCUUCGGCCUGGCGGCGAGUGGCGAACGGGUGAGUAAUGCAUCGGAACGUGCCCAGUAGUGGGGGAUAGCCCGGCGAAAGCCGGAUUAAUACCGCAUACGACCUGAGGGUGAAAGCGGGGGACCGAAAGGCCUCGCGCUAUUGGAGCGGCCGAUGUCGGAUUAGCUAGUUGGUGGGGUAAAGGCUUACCAAGGCGACGAUCCGUAGUUGGUCUGAGAGGACGACCAGCCACACUGGGACUGAGACACGGCCCAGACUCCUACGGGAGGCAGCAGUGGGGAAUUUUGGACAAUGGGGGCAACCCUGAUCCAGCCAUGCCGCGUGCGGGAAGAAGGCCUUCGGGUUGUAAACCGCUUUUGUUCGGGAAGAAAUCCUCUGGGCUAAUACCCCGGGGGGAUGACGGUACCGGAAGAAUAAGCACCGGCUAACUACGUG